This 604-nucleotide small RNA is filed under the name Pongo abelii (Sumatran orangutan). Its description in RNAcentral is "retained intron". Lineage: Eukaryota; Metazoa; Chordata; Mammalia; Primates; Hominidae. The record is from RNAcentral.
GACUAUACACUGAUAAUAAUUAGAUAUAGUUAUUUGAGUUUACGCUAAUCCUUAUUUAUGCUUCUUUGAUAGUCCUUUAGUGAAGAAGAUUCAUUUAAAAAAUGUUCAUCUGAAGUUGAAGCUAAAAAUAAGAUUGAAGAACUACUUGCUAGUCUUUUAAACAGAGUAUGCCAAGAUGGAAGGAAGCCUCAUACAGUGAGAUUAAUAAUCCGUCGGUAUUCCUCUGAGAAGCACUAUGGUCGUGAGAGUCGUCAGUGCCCUAUUCCUUCACAUGUAAUUCAGAAGUUAGGGACAGGUAUGGACUAGUUUUCCAACAGUUUCAUUAGCAGGUUGAACUUUUAAAUAAGCCAACUUUGAAUGAGAAAUAUGCUCCAAAAAUGGAGGGUCUUCACUGGGAAUUAGCAAGCAAUUAAAUGCUUUUAUUCUAUCAUGAAUUUUCACUGGAAAACUUUGUUGUUUGUUUGUUUAUUUAUUUAUUUAUUUAUUUAUUUUUUGAGACAGGGUCUUGCUCUGCACCAAGGCUGAAGUGCAGUGGUGCUGUGAUAGCUCACUGCAGCCUUUGUCUCCCAGGCUCAAACAAUUCUUCUGCCCCAGCCUCCCGAGU